This 140-nucleotide transfer RNA is filed under the name Candidatus Jordarchaeia archaeon. Its description in RNAcentral is "tRNA-Tyr". Lineage: Archaea; Promethearchaeati; Candidatus Jordarchaeia. The record is from RNAcentral.
CCCGCAGUAACUCAGACUGGCUAGAGUGCCCGGCUGUAGACCGGGAUAACUGGGUGCGUAUAGUACUCAGCCCCAACGUCGCUGGUUCAAAGUUUAUAGUGCAUCAUACACUAUAUUUGAAAGUCCGGCCUGCGGGACCA